AAACAAAAACUAAAAAUAAUCAAAAUCAAAAUCGAAAUAGAAAAUGUUCUUUACCUACCGAUCGAUUUCGGAUAUAUAAACAGUCCGUUUGAUGGAGUCCUCCCUCUGAGCUUUUUGAAUACUACUAACACUCGACCUCCUCCUCUCACUCCUCUCACUGUAAUUGCUUUUUCUCUGUAAAAAUUACGAGAAUAAAUGAACUAAUAUACUUUUCUUUCACAAAUU
RNAcentral lists this long non-coding RNA (225 nucleotides) under Ananas comosus (pineapple). RNAcentral's name for it is "long non-coding RNA (ACOM_LNC023078)". The record is from RNAcentral. Lineage: Eukaryota; Viridiplantae; Streptophyta; Magnoliopsida; Poales; Bromeliaceae.